ACAAAUCGUAUUAAAACAAGGGGAUGGUACAAGAAACUCUCAAACACGUCAAACAUCGCUGAUCUUCCGACGUGCAUGCGCUAGAGCUCGAGGAAUUGCCACGGCCGGGCUCGUUCUGGAGGCAGACGGAAAAGAGAAAAGCAGAGACUCCAUCAGCACUGAAAACAGAAAUUCGAUACCAGUUGCUUACCUGAGCUGCGUCUCGCAAAGCCCCGGAGGCGAGCAAUCACCGGCACCUUAUUCUUUUCCGCGAACUCUCGACGCCAGCGGAAGCGCCG
This 278-nucleotide long non-coding RNA is filed under the name Selaginella moellendorffii. RNAcentral describes it as "long non-coding RNA (SMOE_LNC000493)". Lineage: Eukaryota; Viridiplantae; Streptophyta; Lycopodiopsida; Selaginellales; Selaginellaceae. The record is from RNAcentral.